CCUACGGGCGGCUGCAGUGAGGAAUAUUGGUCAAUGGACGAGAGUCUGAACCAGCCAAGUAGCGUGAAGGAUGACUGCCCUAUGGGUUGUAAACUUCUUUUAUAUGGGAAUAAAAUGUUCCACGUGUGGGAUUUUGUAUGUACCAUAUGAAUAAGGAUCGGCUAACUCCGUGCCAGCAGCCGCGGUAAUACGGAGGAUCCGAGCGUUAUCCGGAUUUAUUGGGUUUAAAGGGAGCGUAGGUGGAUGGUUAAGUCAGUUGUGAAGGUUUGCGGCUCAACCGUUAAAUUGCAGUUGAAACUGGCAGGCUUGAGUACAGUAGAGGUGGGCGGAAUUCGUGGUGUAGCGGUGAAAUGCUUAGAUAUCACGAAGAACUCCGAUUGCGAAGGCAGCUCACUGGACUGCAACUGACACUGAGGCUCGAAAGUGUGGGUAUCAAACAGGAUUAGAUACCCCUGUAGUC
Molecule: ribosomal RNA, 460 nt
Filed under: uncultured bacterium
Lineage: Bacteria
Description: partial 16S ribosomal RNA
Rfam family: Bacterial small subunit ribosomal RNA
Source: RNAcentral